RNAcentral lists this ribosomal RNA (484 nucleotides) under uncultured bacterium. RNAcentral's name for it is "bacterial SSU rRNA". It matches the Rfam family "Bacterial small subunit ribosomal RNA", at positions 29 to 507 of the family's 1533-position model. The record is from RNAcentral.
AACGAACGCUGGCGGCGUGCUUAAUACAUGCAAGUCGAACGUGAAUCCCGACUUCGGUUGGGAUGAAAAGUGGCGAACGGGUGAGUAACACGUAAGUAAUCUGCCUUCAAGUUUGGGAUAACCCUGCCAACGCGGGGCUAAUACCGGAUGUGGUCCAGCUGACACAUGUUGGGCUGGAUUAAAGGUCGCGAGGCCGCUUGGAGAUGAGCUUGCGGCCCAUUAGUUAGUUGGUGAGGUAACGGCCCACCAAGACGAAGAUGGGUAGCCGGCCUGAGAGGGUGUACGGCCACAUUGGGACUGAGAUACGGCCCAGACUCCUACGGGAGGCAGCAGUAGGGAAUUUUGCGCAAUGGACGGAAGUCUGACGCAGCAACGCCGCGUGAAGGAUGACGGCCUUCGGGUUGUAAACUUCUGUUGGAUGGGAAAAAAAGCCUAGGAAUAGGAAUUGAUGGUACCAUUCGAGUAAGCACCGGCUAACUACGUG